UUGACUCCCAGUUUCUCUCUGC
RNAcentral lists this microRNA (22 nucleotides) under Mus musculus (house mouse). RNAcentral's name for it is "mmu-miR-7661-3p". Lineage: Eukaryota; Metazoa; Chordata; Mammalia; Rodentia; Muridae. The record is from miRBase by way of RNAcentral.